Long non-coding RNA from Nanorana parkeri, 337 nucleotides. RefSeq lists it as uncharacterized. The transcript has 4 exons. Lineage: Eukaryota; Metazoa; Chordata; Amphibia; Anura; Dicroglossidae. The record is from RefSeq and is a predicted model, not a curated record.
AACGAUUAUGCUCAUAUUCAAAUUUUCUUUUAGAGCACACAAAGGGCCAUUGUCUGGAUAUCUGCCAUCUUUCUGCUACUCCUCAUAGCUGACUGUAGUGAGGGGACAAAGGUUUUAACUAGAAACUGGGGUCCCCAAUCUACAUUAUACCUAAAAGGAAAGCAUGGUAAGAGAAAUAUGCUGGAAAUGGAAACGGAAACUGACUUCCCUGUCUUCGGACCAGUUUAUUGGAUGAACAGCGUCAGCAGUAUAAUAGGUUACCAGAAGUCAAAGCCAACGUUGGAGCAGCUGUUCAAGAAACUAAAGCUAUAUCAAUAUUAAUAAGAACUUAUAAGAC